AUGAACGCUAGCUACAGGCUUAACACAUGCAAGUCGAGGGGCAGCAUGUUGGUUGCUUGCAACCAAUGAUGGCGACCGGCGCACGGGUGAGUAACGCGUAUCCAACCUUCCCCUUAGUAGAGGAUAGCCCGGCGAAAGUCGGAUUAAUACUCUAUGUUCUUCAAUGCGGGCAUCUAAGUUGAAGCAAAGAUUUAUCGCUAAGGGAUGGGGAUGCGUCUGAUUAGGUUGCAGGCGGGGUGACGGCCCACCUGGCCUACGAUCAGUAGGGGUUCUGAGAGGAAGGUCCCCCACACUGGUACUGAGACACGGACCAGACUCCUACGGGAGGCAGCAGUGAGGAAUAUUGGUCAAUGGGCGCGAGCCUGAACCAGCCAAGUAGCGUGCAGGACGAACCUGCCCUAUGGGUUGUAAGCUGCUUUUAUCAGGGAAUAAAGUGAGGCACGCGUGCCUUUUUGUAUGUACCUGAUGAAUAAGGACCGGCUAAUUCCGUGCCAGCCGCAGC
Molecule: ribosomal RNA, 502 nt
Filed under: uncultured bacterium
Lineage: Bacteria
Description: bacterial SSU rRNA
Rfam family: Bacterial small subunit ribosomal RNA
Source: RNAcentral